This 76-nucleotide transfer RNA is filed under the name Alphaproteobacteria bacterium. Its description in RNAcentral is "tRNA-Lys". It matches the Rfam family "tRNA". Rfam says of the family: Transfer RNA (tRNA) molecules are approximately 80 nucleotides in length. Their secondary structure includes four short double-helical elements and three loops (D, anti-codon, and T loops). RNAcentral also lists the same sequence under 1 other name. Lineage: Bacteria; Pseudomonadati; Pseudomonadota; Alphaproteobacteria. The record is from RNAcentral.
GGGCACAUAGCUCAGGUGGUAGAGCAGCUGACUCUUAAUCAGCGGGUCCAAGGUUCGAAUCCUUGUGUGCCCACCA